Long non-coding RNA from Olea europaea var. sylvestris, 900 nucleotides. RefSeq lists it as uncharacterized. The transcript has 4 exons. The record is from RefSeq and is a predicted model, not a curated record. Lineage: Eukaryota; Viridiplantae; Streptophyta; Magnoliopsida; Lamiales; Oleaceae.
UUACUCUUUCCCUCCUCGAUCUAUUUUCCACCCGACUCAUUAUUGAUUUCUCUUCUGCCGACGCUGCAGUUUGUAAUCAAUAUUAAUUGAUAAGAGAAACAAUUCUAAUCGAUCAUCCGAAAUUGCCCAAAAGUAAGUUCAAUCAUUCGAUUUCACUCGUAAUAACAGCUGAAAUUUGAAUUUAUAGCCAAAGAGGGAAAGUUUUUGAGAAGAAUUUCUUAAAAUUAUGGAUUACAAUUUAGAAGCGCUGAAAUUGCUGUGCAUCCAACUGAACGACGCUCGCAAAGCGACGUCGGAGCAAGCCUUCACUCUCGACGGCAUUCUCAUCCAACGCUCCUGGCUACAGGUAUAUAUAUGGCAUUUUAGCCUCUAACUGUCGCCCUCCGACUCCUACUCCGGCGGAUGCUUCCUCCUAGACGAUGACACUGGUGUUACUGAGCUACUCCUCUCCGGCGACUUCGGUAGUCGCAAUUGGAAAGCAGGGAUGUACGUGAUCGACUGAUGGUGAUUGGAGUUUAUUUUGUCCGUAGUGGUGAUAGCUCCGUGUAAAGGUUCACAAAAUGGUUGAUCUUUCUCCCUUUCCAGAUGGGGGUCUGUGAUACCUUGAAGUCACAGAGAUCUUCAAAAUGUUCUACCUGCUUAUGUUCCAAGAUUUACUGCUGGGGUGAGAGAACAAGGUUUCGAAGAAAUUCAUGCGUUCCAUUGAAUACGUUUCCCAGGAAGCAGUGAAGACUGCUAAUUUAUGCGAAGAAAAGGUUUAGAGGUGGUUAGUUUCCAACCAUAUGUCAUCUCGUAUCACACUCUUCAACUUGACCUGAUCAUGUAGUUUCAAAUGAUUUUAUGUGCAAUCAUAUCUAUCUUAUUAAUUGCAAUUUCUUGAAGCCUUCAAGCAAGGCAUGA